AUUGAACGCUGGCGGCAUGCCUUACACAUGCAAGUCGAACGGCAGCACGGGAGCAAUCCUGGUGGCGAGUGGCGAACGGGUGAGUAAUAUAUCGGGAACGUGCCCAGUCGUGGGGAUAACGUAGCGAAAGCUACGCUAAUACCGCAUACGAUCUAUGGAUGAAAGCGGGGGGAUCGCAAGACCUCGCGCGAUUGGAGCGGCCGAUAUCAGAUUAGGUAGUUGGUGAGGUAAAGGCUCACCAAGCCGACGAUCUGUAGCUGGUCUGAGAGGACGACCAGCCACACUGGGACUGAGACACGGCCCAGACUCCUACGGGAGGCAGCAGUGGGGAAUUUUGGACAAUGGGCGCAAGCCUGAUCCAGCAAUGCCGCGUGCAGGAUGAAGGCCU
This 388-nucleotide ribosomal RNA is filed under the name uncultured bacterium. Its description in RNAcentral is "bacterial SSU rRNA". It matches the Rfam family "Bacterial small subunit ribosomal RNA", at positions 30 to 417 of the family's 1533-position model. The record is from RNAcentral.